RNAcentral lists this ribosomal RNA (690 nucleotides) under Cortinarius sp. IB19770272. Its description in RNAcentral is "eukaryotic LSU rRNA". Lineage: Eukaryota; Fungi; Basidiomycota; Agaricomycetes; Agaricales; Cortinariaceae. The record is from RNAcentral.
AGAGGAAGUAAAAGUCGUAACAAGGUUUCCGUAGGUGAACCUGCGGAAGGAUCAUUAUUGAAAUAAACCUGAUAAGUUGCUGCUGGUUCUCUAGGGAGCAAUGUGCACACUUGUCAUUUUUGUAUCUUCACCUGUGCACCUUUUGUAGACCUGACUAUCUCUCUGAAUGCUUUUAUAGCACUCAGGAUUGAGAAUUGACUUCUUGUCUCUUCUUAUAUUUUCAGGUCUAUGUUUCUUCAUAUACCCUCAUGUAUGUUUAUAGAAUGUMAUUAAUGGGCCUUUGUGCCUAUAAACCUUUACAACUUUCAGCAACGGAUCUCUUGGCUCUCGCAUCGAUGAAGAACGCAGCGAAAUGCGAUAAGUAAUGUGAAUUGCAGAAUUCAGUGAAUCAUCGAAUCUUUGAACGCACCUUGCGCUCCUUGGUAUUCCGAGGAGCAUGCCUGUUUGAGUGUCAUUAAUAUUAUCAACCUUUUUGGUUGGAUGUGGGUUUGCUGGCCUCUUGAGGUCAGCUCUCCUUAAAUGCAUUAGCGGACAACAUAUUUGCCAACCGUUUAUUGGUGUGAUAAUUAUCUACGCUAUUGACGUGAAGCAAGGUUCUGCUUCUAACAGUCCAUUGACUUGGACAAGCCAUCUUUUAUUAAUAUGACCUCAAAUCAGGUAGGACUACCCGCUGAACUUAAGCAUAUCAAU